CCUACGGGGGGCAGCAGUGAGGAAUAUUGGUCAAUGGACGAGAGUCUGAACCAGCCAAGUAGCGUGAAGGAUGACUGCCCUAUGGGUUGUAAACUUCUUUUAUAUGGGAAUAAAAUGUUCCACGUGUGGGAUUUUGUAUGUACCAUAUGAAUAAGGAUCGGCUAAUUCCGUGCCAGCAGCCGCGGUAAUACGGAGGAUCCGAGCGUUAUCCGGAUUUAUUGGGUUUAAAGGGAGCGUAGGUGGAUUGUUAAGUCAGUUGUGAAAGUUUGCGGCUCAACCGUAAAAUUGCAGUUGAAACUGGCAGUCUUGAGUACGGGAGAGGUGGGCGGAAUUCGUGGUGUAGCGGUGAAAUGCUUAGAUAUCACGAAGAACUCCGAUUGCGAAGGCAGCUCGCUGGACUGCAACUGACACUGAGGCUCGAAAGAGUGGGUAUCAAACAGGAUUAGAUACCCGGGUAGUC
RNAcentral lists this ribosomal RNA (460 nucleotides) under uncultured bacterium. Its description in RNAcentral is "partial 16S ribosomal RNA". It matches the Rfam family "Bacterial small subunit ribosomal RNA", at positions 338 to 795 of the family's 1533-position model. The record is from RNAcentral.